Molecule: ribosomal RNA, 441 nt
Filed under: uncultured bacterium
Lineage: Bacteria
Description: bacterial SSU rRNA
Rfam family: Bacterial small subunit ribosomal RNA
Source: RNAcentral
GACGAACGCUGGCGGCGUGCCUAAUGCAUGCAAGUCGCACGGGCUGCCUUCGGGCAGCUAGUGGCGCACGGCUGAGGAACACGUGGGAACCUGCCCGACCGUGGGGGACAACACCGCGAAAGCGGUGCUAAUCCCGCAUACGCUCCGCGGAGGAAAGCGCUCACGCGCGCGGUCGGAGGGGCCUGCGUCCCAUCAGGUAGUUGGCGGGGUAACGGCCCACCAAGCCGACGACGGGUAGCUGGUCUGGGAGGAUGACCAGCCAGACUGGGACUGAGACACGGCCCAGACUCCUACGGGAGGCAGCAGCAAGGAAUUUUCGGCAAUGGGCGCAAGCCUGACCGAGCAACGCCGCGUGGUGGAUGACGGCCUUCGGGUUGUAAACACCUUUUCGAGGGGAAGACAUCGACGGUACCCUCGGAAUAAGCCCCGGCUAACUCUGUG